RNAcentral lists this ribosomal RNA (591 nucleotides) under Ureaplasma urealyticum. RNAcentral's name for it is "bacterial SSU rRNA". It matches the Rfam family "Bacterial small subunit ribosomal RNA", at positions 21 to 608 of the family's 1533-position model. The record is from RNAcentral. Lineage: Bacteria; Bacillati; Mycoplasmatota; Mycoplasmoidales; Mycoplasmoidaceae.
GGCUCAGGAUGAACGCUGGCUGUGUGCCUAAUACAUGCAUGUCGAGCGAGGUUAGCAAUAACCUAGCGGCGAAUGGGUGAGUAACACGUGCUUAAUCUACCUUUUAGAUUGGAAUACCCAUUGGAAACAAUGGCUAAUGCCGGAUACGCAUGGAACCGCAUGGUUCCGUUGUGAAAGGCGCUGUAAGGCGCCACUAAAAGAUGAGGGUGCGGAACAUUAGUUAGUUGGUGAGGUAAUGGCCCACCAAGACUAUGAUGUUUAGCCGGGUCGAGAGACUGAACGGCCACAUUGGGACUGAGAUACGGCCCAAACUCCUACGGGAGGCAGCAGUAGGGAAUAUUCCACAAUGAGCGAAAGCUUGAUGGAGCGACACAGCGUGCACGAUGAAGGUCUUCGGAUUGUAAAGUGCUGUUAUAAGGGAAGAACAUUUGCAAUAGGAAAUGAUUGCAGACUGACGGUACCUUGUCAGAAAGCGAUGGCUAACUAUGUGCCAGCAGCCGCGGUAAUACAUAGGUCGCAAGCGUUAUCCGGAAUUAUUGGGCGUAAAGCGUUCGUAGGCUGUUUGUUAAGUCUGGAGUUAAAUCCCGGGGC